AUAAUCAAACAUUAAGCAAGCUCAAUUAAAUUUUAUUGAAGUUAUAAAAGAAACACAAGGAAAUCCUAAAGAAAUAUAAAAGAAUAUUAAAGAAAACUUAGUCAAAUCCUAAUAAAAAUCUAAAUAAAUCUUAAAUUCUAAUCAAACCCUAAUCUUAAUCCAAUCUUAAUCAAACCCUAGAUAAACCCUAAAUCCUAAAUAUAUCCUAGUCAAAUCUUACACAAAUCCUAACUCUAACAAAUCCUAAUCAAUUUCAAACCCUAAACAAACCUUAGUCAAAUCCUAGUCAAAUCCUAACUCUAAAUCC
This 307-nucleotide long non-coding RNA is filed under the name Physcomitrium patens. RNAcentral's name for it is "long non-coding RNA (PPAT_LNC008907)". Lineage: Eukaryota; Viridiplantae; Streptophyta; Bryopsida; Funariales; Funariaceae. The record is from RNAcentral.